UGCCUACGGGAGGCAGCAGUGAGGAAUAUUGGUCAAUGGGAGGAAUCCUGAACCAGCUAUGCCGCGUGCAGGACGACGGCUCUACGGGUCGUAAACCUCUUUUGCCGGGGAGCAAGGGCGGGGACGUGUCCCGGCCCGGAGAGUACCCGGAGAAAAAGCAUCGGCUAACUCCGCGCCAGCAGCCGCGGUAAUACGGAGGAUGCGAGCGUUAUCCGGAUUUAUUGGGUUUAAAGGGUGCGUAGGCGGGCUUUUAAGUCAGCGGUAAAAAUUCGGGGCUCAACCCCGUCCGGCCGUUGAAACUUGGG
RNAcentral lists this ribosomal RNA (305 nucleotides) under uncultured bacterium. RNAcentral describes it as "bacterial SSU rRNA". It matches the Rfam family "Bacterial small subunit ribosomal RNA", at positions 335 to 638 of the family's 1533-position model. The record is from RNAcentral.